Panthera uncia (snow leopard) is the source of this 746-nucleotide long non-coding RNA. RefSeq lists it as uncharacterized. The record is from RefSeq and is a predicted model, not a curated record. The transcript has 3 exons. Lineage: Eukaryota; Metazoa; Chordata; Mammalia; Carnivora; Felidae.
UCGAGACAUGCAGCACGCAAUGAGUCUUACUGCAGUUAUCAAAUACACGCGCGCGUGCCUGUGAGCGCACGAAAAGCAUCACACCUGAAGGCAGGGCGAACGCAUGCGCAACGUCACGUGGCUCGCCGAGACUCCAAGUGAAAGUGAAAAAAAACGUCUCUUGAAGGUACAAUAAGUCGUUGGGUUUUUGUUGUUGUUGUUUUUUCUUUAAGCAACCCGGGAAUCAGGUUUGUGGGUGACUGUGGUUCUCCGGUGGUGCUCGUUUGCAGCAGAGGAGGAAGGGCAGACCAUUGCAUAAAGUCUUUCGGAAAGCAUUUGCAGUCAACUAAAGGUGAACGUGCAUAUCUUCAAGUAGAUUCAUGGGGAAAACUCUGAACAAAAACCUGACCUCACAGAUCCUUAUUAAGACCAUCCAAAGGGCUCUGUAAGCAAAUGACGGAUGUUUCCGUGCUCUGUCCUGAAAACUAACCACGUCUGUGACACCGAUGCACCUGCCAUCACUAAAGACAUUCAAACUGCAAACCAGGAAAGCUGGAAGCUGGAUUAUCACAGCCAUCUUCACCCCACCGUCUAAAGAGGUUUUGAUCCCAGACUCCAGGAGUCUUUUUGACUGACUUCCAUCUGAUCCCCAACAUUGGAUUUAUAAUUUGCUUCAUUCAUUCACUUUUGGUUUUCUUUUGGUUUCCACAGGAAUGCUGCUUCCUGAAAAAUAAGUUUCAAUGGGAAGAAUGAAAGGUAUCAGAAUA